GGGGUAAACCUGCGAAACUCGAAUGAACGAACGGAGAGAUUCAUCGUCAUUCCGCGGCGUACGUCUGCGCGUCUAGAUGUUCGCCGGUCUCGAUCGGCGGGCACUGCGCGUAGGCGUCGACGUCCGUGGACGGCGUGCACUUCUCUCUUAGUAACGAUUGCAUCGCGACCCGUUCGAUGUCGGUCUAAGCCCCGUUCGGGAGCCCCGCCGUCCCUUCGCGGGGGCGACGGGACCGCGACGGACGCCGACCGGCCGUCGGACGGUAUAACGAACGAAACGCGCACGCGUAUCAUACGCGUCCGGCCCGACGCAAGUCAACGUCGUAUCCGACUUCCCGCCCGAGUGCGGACGUUGGUGCGGCGCGUCUGUCGUCGCAGCCGUGCAGUCUCGGACCGUGCGCGUCUCCGUCUGCGAUGAUUCGGUUUCGGGCACUCGCAGGACCCGUCUUGAAACACGGACCAAGGAGUCUAGCAUGUAUGCGAGUCAUUGAGAUUUUUUCAAUAAACUGAAAGGCGUAACGAAAGUGAAGGCGUGCGCUCGUCGCGCGCUCAGGGAGGAUGGAGCUGCGGUCUAGGUCGCACUCUCGCACUCCCGAGGCGUCUCGUUUCCAAUCCUGUGAAUGCAGGCGCGCUC
This 633-nucleotide ribosomal RNA is filed under the name Fentonia excurvata. RNAcentral describes it as "eukaryotic LSU rRNA". Lineage: Eukaryota; Metazoa; Arthropoda; Insecta; Lepidoptera; Notodontidae. The record is from RNAcentral.